GUUUAACACUCAGAUUUCACCUCCUCCGGGGGCUGACCCGGAUCUCCUAGGCGGAGAUCUUUGAGGUUCCAAAGUACUUGGCCCAAAAGUUAUCCAAGUGUUCUGACGUCAUCGUGCAACCCAAUCAGUGAAGGAUCCUGUCUGGAUAUGCAUUGUCCUAGGCCCACCCACAAACGUUUGGAUUAAAGAUCUGAGACAGGACCCAAAGUUUGAAUUUUUAACAAGAGUGCUUCCCAACCCCCAAAUUGUUCCCAUGUCACGCUGCUGUAUCUCCCCUCACCCACCGAGACUGGGUGCAUCUUGAAGGGAGAGAUGAUAUAUUACUCAUUCGGUGCCCACCACAGGCCCUGCCCAGAACGCAUGCUUAAGGCAUGAAAGAUGGAUGCAUAGAAGCCAAUACAUGAAUUAGUGAACAAACGAAUGAACCCGCCCUCUCCACGUCUGUCCCACCCAUCCAACUCCAGUGACCUGUCCUCCUCAGCCUGACCACCUCUCUUUCUUACAGGGUCGAGGCUCUUUGUGCACCCUCCCAACCGAGUCUUGCAGCUGCAGGUGUGUACACAUGUUCCAGUUCCUCUCCCCAGGGAGAGCAGGAGGUCCACUGGCCAACACUUAUUAAGCACCUGGUGGGAGUCAUCUGUGCUUGGAAGUUUAUUGCUGUUCUGAUGUUGAAGGAUACUAUGCCAAGUGACCACACAGAGGGCAUGGUGUACUGCCCUUGUCUAGAGAACCUGUGAGCUUCCCAGACUUCCCCAGCAUGGUGGUUGGUGCAUUUUGCUGGGCAGGAUGGCAGCCUCCAUUUUCCAACUUGCUGUUCUGUGAUCUCUUGGACAGUAUUUAAACCCUGAAGAAAUAGAGUAAAUAUCAACAUGCCUUUAAAUAUUUUGUGUACAAAAAUUCCCAUAAACUGAGUUGGAAGGAUUUGGAAAUCACUUUUUUCUCUAUUUCUCAAAAAACCUGACAUUUAAAAAUUACAACUGUUUAGUUCUCUUAUAUUUGAUUCCUCCAUCCCUUAACUUUCUAUUCUCUUUAAAGCAUUCCAAUGGCUGUGGGCAUCACCCAACAUGUCAUAAAAUAGGAAGAGCUCUCCUAUUUUACGUAGCUGAGACGAAGAGGUCAACAUUGAAAGAGGCUCCUUGAGGGGUUUCUUGAGGAAGAAUCCAGAGAACAGGUUGGGGUCUAGCAGAGGUGCCCCAUUUUUAUGUAAACAGCUCUCUGGCGGGGGUGGGGGUGGAAUUUCUGUACCCACUACUCAUCCCCUUGUAGCUCUGUACUUUGCUGUGAUGUCUGAUGUCUACUCAUUGAAAAUCUGAUUUCUUGGGUUCCAUUUCUAUUAUUUCCUGGUUUUCCAUUUAACUAUCCCUAUGGAAGGGUGCAAGCAUUUGUGUUUUUUUAAAUAAUUUCUG
This 1406-nucleotide long non-coding RNA is filed under the name Callithrix jacchus (white-tufted-ear marmoset). RNAcentral describes it as "lncRNA (ENSCJAG00000068289.2)". Lineage: Eukaryota; Metazoa; Chordata; Mammalia; Primates; Cebidae. The record is from RNAcentral.